This 81-nucleotide small nucleolar RNA is filed under the name Catagonus wagneri (Chacoan peccary). RNAcentral describes it as "Small nucleolar RNA SNORD115 (ENSCWAG00000008086.1)". It matches the Rfam family "Small nucleolar RNA SNORD115". Rfam says of the family: HBII-52 is a member of the C/D class of snoRNAs, which contain the C (UGAUGA) and D (CUGA) box motifs. HBII-52 is encoded in a tandemly repeated array with another C/D snoRNA, HBII-85, in the Prader-Willi syndrome (PWS) region of chromosome 15. Lineage: Eukaryota; Metazoa; Chordata; Mammalia; Artiodactyla; Tayassuidae. The record is from Rfam by way of RNAcentral.
GGGUCGAUGAUGAUAACUCAUAUUGACAUGAAGAGAGAUGAUUACAUAAAAAUCAUGCUCAAUAGGAUUACGCUGAGACCC